GACGAACGCUGGCGGCGCGCCUAACACAUGCAAGUCGAACGAUCGAGAGAGAGCUUGCUUUCUUGAGCGAGUGGCGAACGGGUGAUUAACGCGUGAGGAACCUGCCUCAAAGAGGGGGACAACAGUUGGAAACGACUGCUAAUACCGCAUAAGCCCACGGUGCCUCAUGGCACAGAGGGAAAAGUAGCAAUCCGCUUUGAGAUGGCCUCGCGUCCGAUUAGCUAGUUGGUGAGGUAACGGCCCACCAAGGCGACGAUCGGUAGCCGGACUGAGAGGUUGAACGGCCACAUUGGGACUGAGACACGGCCCAGACUCCUACGGGAGGCAGCAGUGGGGAAUAUUGCACAAUGGGGGAAACCCUGAUGCAGCGACGCCGCGUGGAGGAAGAAGGUCUUCGGAUUGUAAACUCCUGUUGUUGGGGAAGAUAAUGACGGUACCAAACAAGGAAGUGACGGCUAACUACGUG
RNAcentral lists this ribosomal RNA (466 nucleotides) under uncultured bacterium. RNAcentral's name for it is "partial 16S ribosomal RNA". It matches the Rfam family "Bacterial small subunit ribosomal RNA", at positions 28 to 507 of the family's 1533-position model. The record is from RNAcentral.